RNAcentral lists this ribosomal RNA (480 nucleotides) under uncultured bacterium. RNAcentral describes it as "partial 16S ribosomal RNA". It matches the Rfam family "Bacterial small subunit ribosomal RNA", at positions 28 to 507 of the family's 1533-position model. The record is from RNAcentral.
GACGAACGCUGACGGCGUGCUUAACACAUGCAAGUCGAACGAUGAAGAAAAGAAUUGAAGCUUCGGCAGAAAUUCAUUUCGGAUUAGUGGCAGACGGGUGAGUAACGCGUGAGCAACCUACCUCUUACAAAGGGAUAGCCUCGGGAAACCGGGAUUAAUACCAUAUAACAUUGCGACGAAGCAUUUCGAUGCAAUCAAAGCUACGGCGGUAAGAGAUGGGCUCGCGUCCCAUUAACCAGAUGGUGAGGUAACGGCUCACCAUAGUAACGAUGGGUAACCGGCCUGAGAGGGUGAACGGUCACACUGGAACUGAGACACGGUCCAGACUCCUACGGGAGGCAGCAGUGGGGAAUAUUGCACAAUGGAGGGAACUCUGAUGCAGCGACGCCGCGUGAGUGAUGAAGGAAUUCGUUUCGUAAAACUCUGUUCUAUGGGAAGAAAAGGACUGUACCAUAGGAGAAAGCUCCGGCUAAAUACGUG